Molecule: small RNA, 121 nt
Filed under: Klebsiella pneumoniae
Lineage: Bacteria; Pseudomonadati; Pseudomonadota; Gammaproteobacteria; Enterobacterales; Enterobacteriaceae
Description: partial RtT sRNA
Rfam family: RtT RNA
About the family: This family represents a bacterial cis-regulatory element known as RtT RNA. The exact function of RtT is unknown although it is thought that it may be involved in changing the cellular response in relation to amino acid starvation.
Source: RNAcentral
CGAAUCCUGCACGACCCACCAAUUUCAGCAUUUAACUCAGAUGCUGAACGUGAAGGAUAACGUUGCGUCAGCAACGGCCCGAAGGGCGAGGCAAAGCCGAGUCAUCCUGCACGACCUACCA